This 214-nucleotide non-coding RNA is filed under the name Streptomyces afghaniensis 772. RNAcentral describes it as "Bacterial large subunit ribosomal RNA". It matches the Rfam family "Bacterial large subunit ribosomal RNA", at positions 584 to 797 of the family's 2925-position model. The record is from Rfam by way of RNAcentral. Lineage: Bacteria; Bacillati; Actinomycetota; Actinomycetes; Kitasatosporales; Streptomycetaceae.
UUCCAUCUCGUGACUGCGUGCCUUUUGACGAAUGAGCCUGCGAGUUUGCGGUGUGUUGCGAGGUUAACCCGGGUGGGGAAGCCGUAGCGAAAGCGAGUCCGAAUAGGGCGUUUCAGUAGCACGCUCAAGACCCGAAGCGGAGUGAUCUAGCCAUGGGCAGGUUGAAGCGGAGGUAAGACUUCGUGGAGGACCGAACCCACCAGGGUUGAAAACC